Molecule: ribosomal RNA, 810 nt
Filed under: uncultured bacterium
Lineage: Bacteria
Description: bacterial SSU rRNA
Rfam family: Bacterial small subunit ribosomal RNA
Source: RNAcentral
UNUGACUUGAGUGCAGAAGGGGAGAGUGGAGUNCCAUGUGUAGCGGUGGAAUGCGUAGAUAUAUGGAGGAACACCAGUGGCGAAAGCGGCUCUCUGNUCUGUCACUGACGCUGAGGCUCGAAUGCGUGGGUAGCGAACAGGAUUAGAUACCCUGGUAGUNCACGCCGUAAACGAUGAGUGCUAGUGUUAGGCCCUUUCCGGGGCUUAGUGCCGGAGCUAACGCAACAAGCACUCCGCCUGGGGAGUACGACCGCAAGGUUGAAACUCAAAGGAAUUGACGGGGGCCCGCACAAGCGGUGGAGCAUGUGGUUUAAUUCGAAGCAACGCGAAGAACCUUACCAGGUCUUGACAUCCCGAUGCUAUUCUUAGAGAUAGGAAGUUACUUCGGUACAUCGGAGACAGGUGGUGCAUGGUUGUCGUCAGCUCGUGUCGUGAGAUGUUGGGUUAAGUCCCGCAACGAGCGCAACCCUUAUUGUUGGUUGCCAUCAUUAAGUUGGGCACUCUAGCGAGACUGCCGGUAAUAAACCGGAGGAAGGUGGGGAUGACGUCAAAUCAUCAUGCCCCUUAUGACCUGGGCUACACACGUGCUACAAUGGUCGGUACAACGAGUUGCGAGCCGGUGACGGCAAGCUAAUCUCUGAAAGCCGAUCUCAGUUCGGAUUGGAGGCUGCAACUCGCCUCCAUGAAGUCGGAAUCGCUAGUAAUCGCGGAUCAGCACGCCGCGGUGAAUACGUUCCCGGGCCUUGUACACACCGCCCGUCACACCACGAGAGUUUGUAACACCCGAAGUCGGUGAGGUAACCUUUUAGG